RNAcentral lists this ribosomal RNA (253 nucleotides) under uncultured bacterium. RNAcentral describes it as "partial 16S ribosomal RNA". It matches the Rfam family "Bacterial small subunit ribosomal RNA", at positions 524 to 776 of the family's 1533-position model. The record is from RNAcentral.
UACGUAGGGGGCAAGCGUUGUCCGGAUUUAUUGGGCGUAAAGAGCGUGUAGGCGGCUGGGUAGGUCCGUUGUGAAAACUCGAGGCUCAACCUCGAGACGCCGAUGGAAACCCCCCAGCUAGAGUCCGGAAGAGGCGAGUGGAAUUCCUGGUGUAGCGGUGGAAUGCGCAGAUAUCAGGAGGAACACCAAUAGCGAAGGCAGCUCGCUGGGACGGUAUUGACGCUAAGGCGCGAAAGCGUGGGGAGCAAACAGG